GACGUAGGGGGCCAGCGUUGUUCGGAAUUACUGGGUGUAAAGGGUUCGUAGGCGGUGCGGCAAGUCGGGAGUGAAAUCUCUGGGCUUAACCCAGAGGCUGCUUCCGAAACUGCUGUGCUUGAGUGUGGGAGAGGCGCGUGGAAUUGCAGGUGUAGCGGUGAAAUGCGUAGAUAUCUGGAGGAACACCGGUGGCGAAGGCGGCAUCCUGGACCAACACUGACACUGAGGAGCGAAAGCCAGGGGAGCAAACGGG
RNAcentral lists this ribosomal RNA (253 nucleotides) under uncultured bacterium. RNAcentral's name for it is "partial 16S ribosomal RNA". It matches the Rfam family "Bacterial small subunit ribosomal RNA", at positions 524 to 776 of the family's 1533-position model. The record is from RNAcentral.